CCUACGGGAGGCAGCAGUAGGGAAUCUUCCACAAUGGGCGCAAGCCUGAUGGAGCAACACCGCGUGAGUGAAGAAGGGUUUCGGCUCGUAAAGCUCUGUUGUUGGAGAAGAACGUGCGUGAGAGUAACUGUUCACGCAGUGACGGUAUCCAACCAGAAAGUCACGGCUAACUACGUGCCAGCAGCCGCGGUAAU
Molecule: ribosomal RNA, 194 nt
Filed under: uncultured Lactobacillus sp.
Lineage: Bacteria; Bacillati; Bacillota; Bacilli; Lactobacillales; Lactobacillaceae
Description: partial 16S ribosomal RNA
Rfam family: Bacterial small subunit ribosomal RNA
Source: RNAcentral